Molecule: ribosomal RNA, 553 nt
Filed under: uncultured Nitrososphaerota archaeon
Lineage: Archaea; Thermoproteati; Nitrososphaerota
Description: bacterial SSU rRNA
Rfam family: Archaeal small subunit ribosomal RNA
Source: RNAcentral
ACGGGGUGCAGCAGGCGCGAAACCUUUGCAAUGUGCGCAAGCACGACAAGGUUAAUCCGAGUGUUUCCUGCUAAAGGAAUCUUUUGUUAGUCGUAAAACCACUGAUGAAUAAGGGGUGGGCAAGUUCUGGUGUCAGCCGCCGCGGUAAAACCAGCACCUCAAGUGGUCAGGAGGAUUAUUGGGCCUAAAGCAUCCGUAGCCGGCUCUGCAAGUUUUCGGUUAAAUCCAUUUGCUUAACAAAUGGGCUGCCGGAAAUACUACAUAGCUAGGGAGUGGGAGAGGUAGACGGUAUUCGGUAGGAAGGGGUAAAAUCCUUUGAUCUAUUGAGGACCACCUAUGGCGAAGGCAGUCUACCAGAACACGUUCGACGGUGAGGGAUGGAAGCUGGGGGAGCAAACCGGAUUAGAUACCCGGGUAGUCCCAGCUGUAAACGAUGCAGACUCGGUGAUGCACUGGCUUGUGGCCAGUGCAGUGCCGCAGGGAAGCCGUUAAGUUUGCCGCCUGGGAAGUACGUACGCAAGUAUGAAACUUAAAGGAAUUGGCGGGGGAGCAC